This 212-nucleotide long non-coding RNA is filed under the name Lathyrus oleraceus (garden pea). RNAcentral describes it as "Pisum sativum (pea) long non-coding RNA (PSAT_LNC037797)". Lineage: Eukaryota; Viridiplantae; Streptophyta; Magnoliopsida; Fabales; Fabaceae. The record is from RNAcentral.
ACUCCGAGAUCGCAAUACAAUAAAAGGCAACGACAACCAAAAUAUUAUUAUAGCAGUAGCACAAAUUUUAUAUUAACUCAAAGUAAUUGAAAAAAACAGAAAACUAACACAACAGACACAAAUGUUGUCUAUAAUAAAUUUGCAUUACUAUAUAAUCGAAAUAGAGUUAAAAAACAAAAUAUGAAAACAAAUAUUAACACACUAUAAAUAUA